RNAcentral lists this ribosomal RNA (247 nucleotides) under uncultured crenarchaeote. RNAcentral describes it as "partial 16S ribosomal RNA". It matches the Rfam family "Archaeal small subunit ribosomal RNA", at positions 478 to 725 of the family's 1478-position model. Lineage: Archaea; Thermoproteati; Thermoproteota. The record is from RNAcentral.
AGCUCUCCGAGUGGUGUGGAUGUUUAUUGGGCCUAAAGCAUCCGUAGCUGGCUGAGUUAGUCCCUUGUUAAAUCCACCGAAUUAAUCGUUGGAUUGCGGGGGAUACUGCUCGGCUAGGGGACGAGAGAGGCAGACGGUAUUUCCGGGGUAGGGGUGAAAUCCUAUAAUCCCGGGAAGACCACCAGUGGCGAAGGCUGUCUGCUAGAACGCGCCCGACGGUGAGGGAUGAAAGCUGGGGGAGCGAACC